RNAcentral lists this long non-coding RNA (1662 nucleotides) under Podarcis muralis (Common wall lizard). RNAcentral describes it as "lncRNA (ENSPMRG00000003957.1)". Lineage: Eukaryota; Metazoa; Chordata; Lepidosauria; Squamata; Lacertidae. The record is from RNAcentral.
UGUGUAGGGAUUGCAGGGGGGUGCAGCAUCCGGAGGUGCCACCAUGGUUUGGCUACUGAAACUGAGACCUCACAUAAGACAGACACACACACCAACAAACUCCACAAACUAGAGAAACGCCAGAAGCCCAGCCACCCUCCACAACAACCCAUGAAACAAACAGUACAUAACAUAUCAGACAGGAUCCUCACCUCAACUGAAACCAAAGUACUCUCCAAAGGUUUCAACUUUGCAGUCGCCCCGAGACGCAUCCCCACGGAAAACAUCAUAUGCGGAGUCGAAGCUAGCCUAACCAAAAUCAACCCAGAUGAAGCCAAUAAAAUCAGACUUGAAGUCACCAACAUCCUCUGCUCCAGCAAACCACCCAGAAGCAAUUUACACAAAGAAGAACAGAAAGCACUCACCAACCUGAGGAAAGACAACAACAUAAUCAUUCUCCCAGCAGACAAAGGUAAUGCCACUGUUGUGAUGAACACAUCGGACUACCAAGCAAAACUAUCAAAUCUACUCCAAGACCCUACCUACCAACCUAUAAAAACAGAUCCCACCACCUAUCUGGAAAAAACCACCAAAUCCAAAAUAAAAGCCUCUCCUAUCAGUGAAGAAAUCCAGCUAAGAAUCAUCCCCAGAGAAAAAUCAUCCAGAUGCCCCAAACUCUACGGCCUCCCCAAGAUACACAAAGAAGGAACACCACUCAGACCAAUAGUCAGCUCCAUAGGCUCACCUCUACAAAAUCUCGCUAAAUUUCUCGCUAAGCAACUUCAGCCCUAUGCAGAAUCCAUCUCUUCACACGUUACAAACUCCUUCCAGUUCAUAGAAACAAUAAAGAAGCAAAACCUACAUCCCGAUGACCUACUUGUGAGCUUCGAUGUUGUAUCUCUCUUCACACAAGUGCCCAUUAAUGAAGCCUUGACAGCCAUUCAAAACAAAUACAAUCCCCCCGAAUACAUCCUGGACCUGACCAACCACUGCCUAACCAACACGUACUUCAUCCACAAUGGACAAAGAUACAAACAGAUAGAAGGAGCACCUAUGGGAUCACCCCUCUCACCGGUCAUCGCAAAUCUGUACAUGGAACACUUUGAAACCAAUGCUUUAGACAAGUCAGAACACAAACCCAAACUUUGGCUCAGAUAUGUUGACGACACCUUUGUAAUUUGGCCACACGGGAAGGAAAAACUAGAUAGCUUCCUCACACAUCUCAACAGCCUACACCCCAAAAUACAAUUCACCAUGGAAAUAGAAGCCAACAACCAACUUCCCUUCCUUGACGUCCUAAUCUACAAAAAACCUGAUGGCUCCCUAGGACACACUAUCUACCGGAAAAAAACACACACCAACCGCUACUUACAUGCACAAUCACACCACCACCCUGCACAAAUAAACUCCGUAGCCAAGACUCUCAUCUCCAGAACCAAACGCCUGGCUGACAAAGACCACUUGACAACUGAGUUACAGAAUCUCUCAAAUGUGUUAAUCGCCAAUGGAUACCAGCAAAACAGGGUUACGAAGCUAAUCCAAAAAGAAACACCCCCCAAAAACCAAGACACAGAAGAAAACAAUGGCAUGGCCCUCCUUCCUUAUAUCAAGGGCACUACAGAUAAAAUUAGCAAAAUCCUCCAUAAACACAAUAUCAAAACAGCCUUUUGCACCAACCAAAAA